CCGCCCCCCACCCCGCCCCAAGUUUUGUUUGGCGUGCAUAGAGUUAAUUUUCUUCCUGAGAAACAGUUGUCACCAUUACAAAGCUGGUGUAUUUUACACAAAAAUGGGGAUUUUUCACCUUGUCUUGGAAAACAAGAGCUCUGGCAACAUACAAAGCGCCCCCCCCAACCCCCCUCUCCAACCUGUGUACCUGGCACCCGUGGGCUAGGGGGAGGGGUGGGUGGAUGAGGCAGCUGAGGCCCCAGAGAGGGCUGUGCACUUGGCAAGAGUCACACAGCAAGUGUUCGGAGGUGCCUGGGUCAGAUAGCAGAGACACAGAGGGGUGAUGAGUCCUUAUGAAGGUCUCUUCUGGGGGGAAGACCUGAAUGGAGAGGGGUCUGAAAAUCAUGAGAAGGAGAUGGGGUUCUGUGACUCUUCCAUCUGAGAGAGGAGAUGCCUCGGGGAGUGAAGUGGGGGCAGGAAUGGUUGUUUCCAGGUGGGAAGGGUGUUCUCUGUGCCUUUAGGGGGCCACAGCCAGCAUUCACUGAAUGCUUUUGUGUGCCAGGCACGAUGCAAAGCGUGUCCCAUGUGGCAUCCUUCAUAACAGCCAAAGAAAGAGACACAUUCGGUGCGCCUGGGUGGCUCAGUCCGUUAAGUGUCCGACUCUUGAUUUCGGCUCAGGUUGUGAUCCCUGGGUCAUGCGAUCAAGCUCUGCUUCGAGCCCUGCAUUGGGCUCCAUGCUAAGCUUAAGACUCUCUCCCUCCCUCUCCCUCUGCCCCUCCAAGCCUUGUGCUCUCUCUUUCAAAAUAAAUAAAUAAACUUUAAAAAAUAUGCACAUUUGCAACCCUCCUUUUGGUAAGAAACAAAGGCUCCGAGAGGUUUCACAAAUUGCCUCGUGUCUCUGUGGUCGACUUUACCAUUGGCAUGAAUAUUUUGCUUUUUUUUUCUCCUUCCUGGGUACACAAAAAAGUACAUUUCCCAGCCCCUUGCAGGUGGGCCUGGCCAUAGGACUAGUUCUGGCCAAUGGAAUGUGGGGUGGAAGUGAUGGGUGCCUGUUUCGGGCUGAAGCUGGGACACCCCCUUGUAAUUACAGAGUCUGUCUCUCUCUGCCUGUCCACCCACCCAGGUGGUGAGGGACGAGGCUUUGUGAGGUGGCUGGACAGUUCUAAGCAGUUAGCAUGAGGGGGACAGCUGCCCAACCCUGUUGCCUUGACCUUGAGUAGAUUUGCCUUAAACAAACUUUUGUGGUUGUUAAGCAGCUGAGACACGGGGGUUGUUUGUAACUGUGGCAGAUCCUAGCCAAGCUUGAUUAAUACAUCACAAAGCUAGAAGGGGGGGGGGGGGUGGCUGGGAUUUGAACCCACAUCUUACUGACCGAAGACUCUUACCUGUUACUCUAGAAGCAGAAUUAGUAAGGGCAGGUGUGGAUUCCAUUGAUUCAAUGACACACAGUCCCUCUCUCCAUGCACAUUUUAACCUUCCUGAAUCAGGUUUCGUCUCAUAAUCAGCGGCGUCUCACAGUCCUUGUUGGGCUGGUGGCAGUCACACAGGUUGCCUGAUGCCUUUUUGCAAGACUUUAAAAAGAAGUGCCAGCAUCCAAACUUGAAGAGUGACUGUCUACUUGAAAUAAAAUCUCUGGGACAAGGUGGCACACUCUUUCAAGAAAUGUCACAUCACCUACACUCUUGAUGUCCUGGAAGACGAUAUUGUGUGAAAAACACAAACAUCAAUGAGUCUGAGUUGAAAAGAGAUUCACAAGAGCUGAACUCUGAAUGUGAAGAUGUUUGGGGAUAACUUGACCAAUUUAUUUUGCUGGUAUUUUCCAUUUUCUAUGUGCACAAUAGUGAUAUAGGAUAAAAAUCUAUGCCUAAAUAAGUCUACACGAGCCCUUUCAAUUGGUAUAAAAUAAAAAUUCUAAGUGAUAAUAAAGCACCACGUCUGGCUUUAAUUGGCAGCAUUUUUUCUUUCUUAGCAGUACAUAAAGAUGCACCCUUCAAUCGAUGGCAUCUUAUAUUUGCGGAAAUAUAGUCCCUGUGGAUCCCAGGAGGCGGAAUUGCCAGCACAGGAAGCCUGGGGCCCCUGCACAGCCUGCUGGUGUGGAGAAGCUGCACCAUCCCCGGGGGGCUCCCUUCUCAGGGGCCCCUCCUGUGCCCCCAGGCACCUGGCUUUGACAUUCUUCUCUGAAGAUUCUCUUUCCAACCGCUUCUGGUUUAGGCUGCUCAGUGGGGCUGAUAGAGUUCGGGACAAAUGCAGACUUCGCAGAGGGAAUGAGGAAUCCUUAGAAUGUAAUAAAGAGAAAGGGAGAGGGCUCCCCAGGCCCCUUGCAGGGAAAUCAAGUGAAAUGGCCAGAAUGAAGAUGAAGACAGCUGCUGUCUUUUUCUGUAGGUCUUCCUUUGCGUCAGGGGCCUGGACUGUGGCCGUGGCUCAGACGGCAACUCUGUGGGACCAGACCUGGGGACCUGGGGUUGGGGGCGCUGAAAAGGAGAGGGGCGUGUUCUGUGAAUUCCAACCGCUUUUUGUUCUCACCCCUGCUCAGUGUUGUCCCUGCCAUUGUCCCCCUCUCUGACUGUAUCAGUCAGGGCAGCCUGUGUCAUGCUGCGGUAACAAACAUCCCCCCACAUGUCAGUCUCAGUGGCCUGUAAUCAUAAAGGUUUCGUUCUCUCUCAUGCUUUCUGCCCCUCACAAGCCCCUCUUCACCCAGGGACCUGGAGGACAGAACAUCCACUAUCUGUGGCAUCCCCCAUUGCCCACUCAGUAGCCACAUCCACCACCUCUGCUCGAACGUCAUGGCUAAUACAAGUCCUGUGGCCACGGCCAGUGUAAAAGGACAUGCAAUCCUGCCACAUAACCAGGAGGCCGAGAGACAGACUACUUCUGCAAAUUCCUAUUGACUCUCACAUUGACCACAUCCCUGUUUCUUGCCAGGAUCUUGUCUGUCACCACUCUCAUCACUGGCCAUGCUCUGUCUCUCAGAGUCUCCACAUCCUUUAUCACGUGCCCAGGAGUGAGGCUGUACUUUUGAGACCGCGGGUUCUGGAAAUGCAGAACUGUUUCCGUUCUUCUCCUCUGACACCUACCACAUCGUACGCUUAGUUCCAUGGCUGAUUGCGCUGCUGGGCUGCAAACGCUCAAAAUCCAGGAGGGUGGCCAUGCGUUCUGUGCCCCCAGGCACAAAGCCUGGCUCAGAGGAGGUGAGCAUUUGGAAAAAGAAUGGAUAAUUAAGUGAAAAAUGCAAUGAGCCUGUUGGAGGGAUGAAAUGCUCCUCGUGUGGGGGAGUCCAUAUGGCCAAACUGAAAGUCCGCUCUCUGACCCUUGAGAAGCACCAUCGGAAAUGCCCAGGGAUCUCAGAGAGUGUGUGUCCGUGUGUGUAUGGGAUGUGAGGAGACCCCAGUACUUUGGACACAUCCUUAGGAGUUGGGCUGUGGCCUGGCUGCAAAAAGGCAGGUUAGGGUUGAUGGAUCUCCAUGUGUCAUCUCAUUACUGAGAGAGAGCGUCACCAGAUCAACACAGCUGUUCAGUGUAGACCAAUGGCUCUCAGCCUCCCCUGGCCCGACCCACACGGCCAAUGGCAUCCACAUGAGCGUCUUGCUGUGAACAUAUCCAGCCUAUGAUUGGAAGCACAGACAAAGCCGACUGUGGGGUACAUGCAAUCCCCCCUAACUGGCUGUGUGUCCACUGCUUCCUUUCCCUGCACGGAAGCUGAUCUGAAAGCCAGUGAGGGAGGGGAACUUUUUUAUGGUGUUUUUUUCAGGACACUUUUUGGCUGCAGGUGACAUAGAACCAGUUAGCACGGUCUUGGACAAACAAAAGGGAGUUUGUUUAUUUCUCCCAAAAGUUCAAGGUAAAUGACUUCAGGCACACCUGCAUCCAGGUGUUCAAAUGAUGUGGCCAGGUGUCUGUUGAUGAGGUGCUCUGUGCAAAAGAACGCACUGACAAUUACUGAGCAUUUCCUUUGUUCUGGGAACCGUGCUAACACUUUACUUCGUGCCCCAUCAACUUUAACCCUCGCAACCCUACAAAGUAGGUUCUGUUAUUAAUUACACUAUGCAGCUGAGGAAAUGAAGGCUCAGAGACGCUUAGUAACUUUCCCAAGGUCACACAGCUAGUAGGUGGCUGACCCAGGAUCCCACUGCUGUCUGACACUAGGGGUUCACUCCCGGUUCUUGUCAUGUUCCUGCUUCCGGCUAGAGAUAUGUAUUUGAAGCCACCACAUCCCUGAUUCUCUCGCUCAGACUCCAGAGGCAGGUUCCCUGAGGGACAUUUCAGUCCUUAGGAACCCCAGGACUAGAGAUAUUAACUGUCACCUGCCAUCCACUCCCUCUCUGUAGAAGGCUUUGCUCCACACAGCCCUUGCCACCUUCAGCUGUCAUCUCUUAUAGUGGAUGACUCCACCCCUUAUCUUCCCUGUCAUGGCCGAUUGGACCAACCGUAGUCAUGUGACCCGGGGACUGCCAAUCUAUAGGCUGGCCCACCACCUAUCACUGUGUGGUUUGUAUGGGCUUGGCCAAUCAGAUUCUCCCCUGGAAUGUGAACUCAGACUCGGGGAAACUCCCAGUUGGUGCUGGCAGUUGAACUUGGAUGCCAAGUAGAUUCAGGGUUGGAGUGGCCAUUUUGGACACCUGAGUCCCCUUCCAAGGAAGCCAGGAGGCUGACAGAUGAGGUCCCGGCUGCUGCAGAGGGCAGAGUAGAAAUGACACAGAGGGAUGGCUUUGUAAAGACUGGAAGUGGCCCGUGUCUGUUGUGUUUACCACCAUAUCACAGGCACCCAGCAUGACAUCUGCCAGCCAGGAGGCAGCCAGCCAAUGUUUGUGGAACGGGAGGCUGAAGCUCAGAGAGGUAAUCGACACAUGUGGAACUCCACUGCUAAUAAGCACGAGGUGGCAUUCUAGUCACCGGACACAAACCCCAAAUCUCUGCCCCUGUGGAGUUCGCGGGAAAGACAACGACGGGUAAAAUAAGUGAGGAAGUUAUACAUUCAGAGGUCAGUUCCUGAAGAGGGGAAAGUGAAUCAGGGCUAAGGGACGGGACAGGUGGCGAGGGGCUGGAGUUUAAAAUAGAGCGUUCGCUGUGGUGCCUGGCUGGCUCAGUCGGUGGAGCGUGUGACUCUUGAUCUCAGGGUAGUGAGUUCCAUCUCCAUGUUGGGUGUAGAGAUUCCUUAAAAAUGAAAUCUAAAUAAAAUAAAAUAAAAUAAAAUAAAAUAAAAUAAAAUAAAAUAAAAUAAAAUAAAAUAAAGCAGUCAGGGAGGGCCUCCUUGAGAAGCUGAUAUUUGAGUGGAGAUCUGAAGGUGUAAAAAGUAUUCCAGGAUGGGGAAGCAGCAAGUGCAAAGGCCCUGAGGCAGGAGUGUGCCUGGGGAGGCAAAUGUGCCAGGGUGCAACAGGCAAGUGGGAGGGGAGUAGAAAGGAGCCCAGAAAGGCCGUUGAAAGGACUUUUUAUCAGAGAGGUGGAAGCUGAAGUGGGAGUUUGAGAAGAGGGGGACUGUAAUGGACAGGGUUUAACGUGUCAGUCUGGCUGCUGUGCUGAGAGGACACUGUAGAGGGGCCAGGGCUGGGUGGGAGCAUGGAAGCCGGAGGGGCUACUGCAGUGCGUCAGGUGACAGAUGCUGGUGGCUUGGACCGGGGCACGCGGGGAUGAGAGACCCUCUCAGGAGUGAACUUGUCCAGCCCUUGGGAGACGGCCCCUGACCCUACAAGCCCCUGAGUGCGAUUUUGUGGCCUUGGUGGCGAUGGGAUCGCCCCUGAUGCUCCAGAGAUUGGCCGCAGAACAGCAAUGGUGGUGACAAGCGGCCUUAAUUGCUUUGAGUGUUUGCAUCAGAGGAAAAUCCCGCUCUUUCUGUAAAAAACAGAAGGAGCCGCUCCGUGGGCACCGCGGGCAGAGCUGGGACGCGAGGGGCUUGCCAGAGUGUGGGUGCCUGUGGGAAGCAGGUGAGGGAGCGAGAGCAGGGGUGUCUGAUGCUCACGGUCGGUCUGCAGGCUUCCUUGGAGUCAGAGCUGGAUACACCCUGGGAGGGGGGCAGGGGCUUCAUCCGGGCUGAUGCCCUCCCCUGCUGGGGCCAUACAGCUGCUCACGAGGCACUGCCCUGGGCCUCACCCACGGAGAUGCGCCUCCCAGAGCAGCCACGGCCAGUCAUUGACCAGCUGGGGGUGCAGAGACCCGGGAGCAGCCACGGCCAGUGAUUGACCAGCUGGAGGUGCAGAGACCCGGUCCCUUUGUCUCAAUUCGGGACAACACCGAGGAGCCACCUGGCUCCAGAGCUCAUCACGGGACAGGUGGCCGCCUCCCUUGCAACCACACCGCAGGCCAGCUCGUCCCUCCGCCAGGGCCGCCCACAUCACUUCCCCAGGGCACCCCCAUCCACCUCACCGAACCCCGCCUCCCAGUCUGUUUCCAGGGGACCCCGUCCGGUGCAGUGGGUCGCAUGGUUUCUGACAGCUCCAUUUGGUGGGCCCCUGGUGGCUCACACCUCACCUGCCUGAGACCAAGUCCGCCGUCCUUCCUGCCUCCUCCACGGCAGCCCCUCCUGUGGCCUCCCUCAUCUGGGGGUCGCGUUGCCGGCUACCCAGUUACCCAAGCCAGAAAUACCGGGGUCACCCCGAUACAGCUCCUUCCCUCACCUCCUCAUUAUUGCACCCGCCAUCAUGUCCUGUCGGCUGCCCUCAAGUCUGUUUCCCCACAUCCGUCUCAGGGGCCAGCCACGGCCAUCUCCUGCUUGGACAAAGAGAUCGACCUUUUCACAGGCUUCCCUGCCUCCAGCCUGGUCUUGCUCCGAUCUGCCCUUCCUAGACUGAAUACAAGCCCCAAAUAUAAUUCAGAUUUGUCCCCCUUCUCUCUUAUAUAUACAUAUAUAUGUAUGAAUAUAUGCAUGAAUCAAAUGCAUAUAUUAUACAUAUAUAAUGCACAUACUAUAUAUGAUAUACAUACAUAUAUACACAUAUGUCAUAUGUAAAAUAAACACACAUACAUGUGUAUGUUUACUCCAUCUAUUCCAGACAAAGGUGACUGUGUGCUUGGUUAUGUAGUUGAUUCUAUGUUAUACAUAUUAUGGCCAUAAUAUGCUCUUCUCUCUCUCUCUUUAAAAAAUGUUUAAUGCUUAUUUAUUUUUGAGAGAGAGAGAGUGUGAGCAGGAGAUGGGCAGAGAGAGAGACACACACACAGAA
Felis catus (domestic cat) is the source of this 7133-nucleotide long non-coding RNA. RefSeq lists it as uncharacterized. The record is from RefSeq and is a predicted model, not a curated record. NCBI's taxonomy places the organism in Eukaryota, Metazoa, Chordata, Mammalia, Carnivora, Felidae. The transcript is spliced from 3 exons.